Molecule: ribosomal RNA, 468 nt
Filed under: uncultured bacterium
Lineage: Bacteria
Description: partial 16S ribosomal RNA
Rfam family: Bacterial small subunit ribosomal RNA
Source: RNAcentral
GACGAACGCUGGCGGCGUGCUUAACACAUGCAAGUCGAACGGAAAGGCCCUGCUUUUGUGGGGUGCUCGAGUGGCGAACGGGUGAGUAACACGUGAGUAACCUGCCCCUGACUUUGGGAUAACUUCAGGAAACUGGGGCUAAUACCGGAUAGGAGAUCCUGCAGCACGGUGGGGGUUGGAAAGUUUCGGCGGUUGGGGAUGGACUCGCGGCUUAUCAGCUUGUUGGUGGGGUAGUGGCUUACCAAGGCUUUGACGGGUAGCCGGCCUGAGAGGGUGACCGGCCACAUUGGGACUGAGAUACGGCCCAGACUCCUACGGGAGGCAGCAGUGGGGAAUAUUGCACAAUGGGCGGAAGCCUGAUGCAGCAACGCCGCGUGCGGGAUGACGGCCUUCGGGUUGUAAACCGCUUUCGCCUGUGACGAAGCGUGAGUGACGGUAAUGGGUAAAGAAGCACCGGCUAACUACGUG